UCUGGUGUCAGCCGCCGCGGUAAAACCAGCACCUCAAGUGGUCAGGAUGAUUAUUGGGCCUAAAGCAUCCGUAGCUCGUUUUGUAAGUUUUCGGUUAAAUCCAUGCGCUCAACGUAUGGGCUGCCGGGAAUACUGCAUAACUAGGAAGUGGGAGAGGUAGACGGUACUCGGUAGGAAGGGGUAAAAUCCUUUGAUCUAUUGAUGACCACCUGUGGCGAAGGCGGUCUACCAGAACACGUUCGACGGUGAGGGAUGAAAGCUGGGGGAGCAAACCGGAUUAGAUACCCGGGUAGUCCCAGCUGUAAACUAUGCAAACUCAGUGAUGCAUUGGCUUGUGGCCAAUGCAGUGCUGCAGGGAAGCCGUUAAGUUUGCCGCCUGGGAAGUACGUACGCAAGUAUGAAACUUAAAGGAAUUGGCGGGGGAGCACCACAAGGGGUGAAGCCUGCGGUUCAAUUGGAGUCAACGCCAGAAAUCUUACCCGGAGAGACAGCAGAAUGAAGGUCAAGCUGAAGACUUUACCAGACAAGCU
Molecule: ribosomal RNA, 530 nt
Filed under: uncultured Nitrososphaerota archaeon
Lineage: Archaea; Thermoproteati; Nitrososphaerota
Description: bacterial SSU rRNA
Rfam family: Archaeal small subunit ribosomal RNA
Source: RNAcentral